Molecule: transfer RNA, 75 nt
Filed under: Flavobacteriales bacterium
Lineage: Bacteria; Pseudomonadati; Bacteroidota; Flavobacteriia; Flavobacteriales
Description: tRNA-Arg
Rfam family: tRNA
About the family: Transfer RNA (tRNA) molecules are approximately 80 nucleotides in length. Their secondary structure includes four short double-helical elements and three loops (D, anti-codon, and T loops).
Source: RNAcentral
GGCUCCGUAGUUCAAUGGAUAGAAUAAGGGUUUCCGGUACCCUCGAUGCAGGUUCGAUUCCCGCCGGAGCUACCA